UGGUGUGUGUUGUUUUUUCUCGUCAUUACUCGAUGAAAUUACCUUAGUUUUAGUCGGGGAUCAUUUAAGGGUGUAGUCCACGUACAAAACGUUCGGAAAAAACGCAUUCAUAACUUAGAUGGGCGUCAUGACGUGUUACACAGUGAGCGGCUCUAUUAGGGAGCUAAUUCCAUAUAGAAUCAGGAGAGCGCCGCAGUUCCUGUCGAUAAUGAUGGUAUUUUCAUAACACUGGACUGGGAAGCAGGAGGAAGUUCUCAAUUCUCAAAGCGGCGACUUAAGGUUGAGUGCCUUGCGACAGCGACAAUUUGCAUUUAAUUGUAAAAUAUUCAACUUAAUAAAAAUCAAAUAAACCUACCUGUUUGGCUACUGCAGAACCAGCAAACACUACCAAUUAAAAUAGUUUUCAACAUCUUUAACUGUUGCUUUGAAGUUUUAAACACACAGCUAAAGCCACUAGAUAAUGUUUUGUUUAAAAAAAAAUGGCAAAUGACCAUACAAGCAGCGACCCAACACUAAUGAAAGCAGCAAAAUGUUCCAUUUCAUUACAUCGCUCAAUUCCAAGAGUGACUAACCCGAUUAAUUCAGGCAAUUAAGCUUUAUUAGUUGCAGUUUAAACUUUGUGCAUGAAUCCUGUUUGCUGAUAAUGCGGUCCUUUAUAGCCAUCCGCGAUUUAUUUGACUAACUUUAGACAAUAGUGGACAACAUUGACUUACUUUUGCAUUCGAGAGACAACAUCGGCAGUCAUGUUUGCUUUCCGUUUUGCAUUCCAAUCGAAAGCCUCCAAAUCGGUGUUCAAAUUAUCCGAUUCUUCAUUACCCUCGUUGAUUAUAGAUUGGCUUCUGGAUGUUCUAGGAGUUAUGCUUUUGAUCUGAAAAGAUCUUUCAAUGAAGUACUUUCCAGGCUUAAUUGAACGUAGCCAAACCUCUUGAUCAGUGCCUGAAGAAGUGGUGACUUGAAUAACUUUAAAGGGUCCAGAAAACGUCCUCUCUUUUCGAUCUCGACCGCUCAGCUUCAGCUUGGCCAGCAUCUUGGUGGACAGCAGCUCCUUCUUGAACGAGUUGCGCUCAUUUCUGAGCACAGUUUUACGCUUCUGAGAUUCCUCCUUUUGCAUUUGCUUCAACCUGAAACAGCAUUGAACAAUUGUAUAACGGCGCGUGCCAACCCAACUACAGCAACGGAAAUUACUCGUUAUCUAAGAUUAUGUUAUAAACAUUUCAACGGUAUGGUUUAAGCUGAUUGUAGAUAUGAUUAGUGUUGGAAUAGCGCGUCAGAGGAAGACGCGUACUAUCUGUUAAGUACUGAAUAAAAUUUGAUCAAUAUAA
This is a long non-coding RNA of Dendroctonus ponderosae (mountain pine beetle), 1322 nucleotides long. RefSeq lists it as uncharacterized. The transcript has 2 exons. Lineage: Eukaryota; Metazoa; Arthropoda; Insecta; Coleoptera; Curculionidae. The record is from RefSeq and is a predicted model, not a curated record.